RNAcentral lists this ribosomal RNA (497 nucleotides) under uncultured bacterium. Its description in RNAcentral is "partial 16S ribosomal RNA". It matches the Rfam family "Bacterial small subunit ribosomal RNA", at positions 28 to 507 of the family's 1533-position model. The record is from RNAcentral.
GAUGAACGCUGGCGGUGUGAAUAAUACAUGCAAGUCGAGCGAACAGACGAGGAGCUUGCUCCUCUGACGUUAGCGGCGGACGGGUGAGUAACACGUGGAUAACCUACCUAUAAGACUGGGAUAACUUCGGGAAACCGGAGCUAAUACCGGAUAAUAUAUUGAACCGCAUGGUUCAAUAGUGAAAGACGGUUUUGCUGUCACUUAUAGAUGGAUCCGCGCCGCAUUAGCUAGUUGGUAAGGUAACGGCUUACCAAGGCAACGAUGCGUAGCCGACCUGAGAGGGUGAUCGGCCACACUGGAACUGAGACACGGUCCAGACUCCUACGGGAGGCAGCAGUAGGGAAUCUUCCGCAAUGGGCGAAAGCCUGACGGAGCAACGCCGCGUGAGUGAUGAAGGUCUUCGGAUCGUAAAACUCUGUUAUUAGGGAAGAACAAAUGUGUAAGUAACUAUGCACGUCUUGACGGUACCUAAUCAGAAAGCCACGGCUAACUACGUG